This 253-nucleotide ribosomal RNA is filed under the name uncultured bacterium. RNAcentral describes it as "partial 16S ribosomal RNA". It matches the Rfam family "Bacterial small subunit ribosomal RNA", at positions 524 to 776 of the family's 1533-position model. The record is from RNAcentral.
UACGGGGGGUGCGAGCGUUGUCCGGAAUCACUGGGCGUAAAGGGCGCGUAGGUGGCCUGAUAAGGGUGUGGUGAAAGUCCGGGGCUCAACCCCGGAUCUGCCGUGCCGACUGUUAGGCUAGAGUACUGUAGGGGCAGGCGGAAUUCCGGGUGUAGCGGUGGAAUGCGUAGAGAUCCGGAGGAAGACCGGUGGCGAAGGCGGUUCUCUGGGCAUUACCUGACGCUGAGGAGCGAAAGUGUGGGGAGCGAACAGG